This 465-nucleotide ribosomal RNA is filed under the name uncultured bacterium. RNAcentral describes it as "partial 16S ribosomal RNA". It matches the Rfam family "Bacterial small subunit ribosomal RNA", at positions 338 to 795 of the family's 1533-position model. The record is from RNAcentral.
CCUACGGGAGGCAGCAGUGGGGAAUAUUGCGCAAUGGGCGAAAGCCUGACGCAGCGACGCCGCGUGAGGGAUGAAGGUCUUCGGAUCGUAAACCUCUGUCAGCAGGGAAGAACGGUCACUGUGCUAAUCAGCAGUGAAUUGACGGUACCUGCACAGGCAGCACCGGCUAACUCCGUGCCAGCAGCCGCGGUAAUACGGAGGGUGCGAGCGUUAAUCGGAAUUACUGGGCGUAAAGCGCUCGUAGGCGGUAUGUCAAGUCAAGGGUGAAAUCCCCGGGCUCAACGCGGGAACUGCCUUUGAAACUAGCAAACUGGAGUGUGAGAGAGGUGAGCGGAAUUCCAGGUGUAGGAGUGAAAUGCGUAGAUAUAUGGAGGAACACCAGAGGCGAAGGCGACUAACUGGGACAUAACUGACGCUGAGGAGCGAAAGCGUGGGUAGCAAACAGGAUUAGAUACCCGAGUAGUC